RNAcentral lists this ribosomal RNA (423 nucleotides) under uncultured bacterium. RNAcentral's name for it is "bacterial SSU rRNA". It matches the Rfam family "Bacterial small subunit ribosomal RNA", at positions 355 to 776 of the family's 1533-position model. The record is from RNAcentral.
UAGGGAAUAUUGGGCAAUGGGCGAAAGCCUGACCCAGCCAUGCCGCGUGCAGGAUGAAGGCCUUCUGGGUUGUAAACUGCUUUUAUCAGGGAAGAAAAAGCUCCUGCGGGAGCAACUGACGGUACCUGAGGAAUAAGCACCGGCUAACUCCGUGCCAGCAGCCGCGGUAAUACGGAGGGUGCAAGCGUUGUCCGGAUUUAUUGGGUUUAAAGGGUGCGUAGGCGGCCUUUUAAGUCAGUGGUGAAAGCCCAUAGCUCAACUAUGGAACUGCCAUUGAUACUGAAAGGCUUGAGUACAGACGAGGUUGGCGGAAUGGAUGGUGUAGCGGUGAAAUGCAUAGAUACCAUCCAGAACUCCGAUUGCGUAGGCAGCUAACUAGGCUGUAACUGACGCUGAGGCACGAAAGCGUGGGGAGCAAACAGG